CAAGUCGAGCGAUGAAGUUCCUUCGGGAACGGAUUAGCGGCGGACGGGUGAGUAACACGUGGGUAACCUGCCUCAUAGAGGGGAAUAGCCUUCCGAAAGGAAGAUUAAUACCGCAUAAGAUUGUAGUUUCGCAUGAAACAGCAAUUAAAGGAGUAAUCCGCUAUGAGAUGGACCCGCGUCGCAUUAGCUAGUUGGUGAGGUAACGGCUCACCAAGGCGACGAUGCGUAGCCGACCUGAGAGGGUGAUCGGCCACAUUGGGACUGAGACACGGCCCAGACUCCUACGGGAGGCAGCAGUGGGGAAUAUUGCACAAUGGGGGAAACCCUGAUGCAGCAACGUCGCGUGAGUGAUGACGGUCUUCGGAUUGUAAAACUCUGUCUUCAGGGACGAUAAUGACGGUACCUGAGGAGGAAGCCACGGCUAACUACGUGCCAGCAGCCGCGGU
This 446-nucleotide ribosomal RNA is filed under the name uncultured bacterium. RNAcentral's name for it is "bacterial SSU rRNA". It matches the Rfam family "Bacterial small subunit ribosomal RNA", at positions 58 to 521 of the family's 1533-position model. The record is from RNAcentral.